UACGAAGGGGGCUAGCGUUGCUCGGAAUCACUGGGCGUAAAGCGCACGUAGGCGGACUCUUAAGUCGGUGGUGAAAUCCUGGAGCUCAACUCCAGAACUGCCUUCGAUACUGGGAGUCUUAGAGUCCGGGAGAGGUGAGUGGAACUCCGAGUGUAGAGGUGAAAUUCGUAGAUAUUCGGAAGAACACCAGUGGCGAAGGCGGCUCACUGGCCCGGUACUGACGCUGAGGUGCGAAAGCGUGGGGAGCAAACAGG
Molecule: ribosomal RNA, 254 nt
Filed under: uncultured bacterium
Lineage: Bacteria
Description: partial 16S ribosomal RNA
Rfam family: Bacterial small subunit ribosomal RNA
Source: RNAcentral